This 167-nucleotide small nuclear RNA is filed under the name Salvator merianae (Argentine black and white tegu). Its description in RNAcentral is "U2 spliceosomal RNA (ENSSMRG00000002395.1)". The stretch from base 1 to 95 matches the Rfam family "U2 spliceosomal RNA". From Rfam's summary of the family: U2 is a small nuclear RNA (snRNA) component of the spliceosome (involved in pre-mRNA splicing). Complementary binding between U2 snRNA (in an area lying towards the 5' end but 3' to hairpin I) and the branchpoint sequence (BPS) of the intron results the bulging out of an unpaired adenosine, on the BPS, which initiates a nucleophilic attack at the intronic 5' splice site, thus starting the first of two transesterification reactions that mediate splicing. Lineage: Eukaryota; Metazoa; Chordata; Lepidosauria; Squamata; Teiidae. The record is from RNAcentral.
AUCGCUUUUCGGCCUUUUGGCUAAGAUCAAGUGUAGUAUCUGCUAAUAAUAAAUUAAAAUGACUAUAGCUUCAUGGAAGCUGUCAAAUACACCUCAGACAAGCAGUUUUGCUGCAGUGGUCACNGUGGGCUUCUCAUCAACUUGUAAAGCAGAUUCGCAGCACCACU